UUGACAUUUUUAUGCCACUGGAAAUUGGGAAAGUACCUUGAAGCUAAUGACGAGGUUAACGUCUCAAUAAUAGGGUGGAGUAAUACUUUUCAGAUGAAAGAUUUCGGAGUUAGCCUUGAGUGUGACACAGUAGAAGCAGAUCUAUCCGUACCAUCAAACGAGCUUGCAAUAAAAAGUAGUGAUCCCAGUGCUUAUCUAUCUGGACAGUGUGUCAUGGAAAGAUAUAUGCCCGUGUAUCAGCUAGCAUGGAAUCAUUACUGCUUUUCUCACCCUGACUACUUUUUGUUUAAUGGACACCAAAGGAAACAAGCAACAAUGAGG
RNAcentral lists this unclassified non-coding RNA (321 nucleotides) under Hevea brasiliensis (rubber tree). Lineage: Eukaryota; Viridiplantae; Streptophyta; Magnoliopsida; Malpighiales; Euphorbiaceae. The record is from RNAcentral.